RNAcentral lists this ribosomal RNA (403 nucleotides) under Fusobacteriota bacterium. Its description in RNAcentral is "Fusobacteria bacterium partial 16S ribosomal RNA". It matches the Rfam family "Bacterial small subunit ribosomal RNA", at positions 355 to 776 of the family's 1533-position model. Lineage: Bacteria; Fusobacteriati; Fusobacteriota. The record is from RNAcentral.
UGGGGAAUCUUGCACAAUGGGGGAAACCCUGAUGCAGCGACGCCGCGUGAGCGAUGAAGGUUUUCGAAUCGUAAAGCUCUGUCCUAUGGGAAGAUAAUGACGGUACCAUGGGAGGAAGCCCCGGCUAACUACGUGCCAGCAGCCGCGGUAAUACGUAGGGGGCGAGCGUUGUCCGGAAUUACUGGGCGUAAAGGGUUCGCAGGCGGCAUGGCAAGUCAGAUGUAAAAGGCGAAGGCUCAACCUUCGUAAGCAUCGGAAACUGUCAAGCUUGAGUGAAGGAGAGGCAAGUGGAAUUCCUAGUGUAGCGGUGGAAUGCGUAGAUAUUAGGAGGAAUACCGGUGGCGAAGGCGACUUGCUGGACUUCAACUGACGCUGAGGAACGAAAGCGUGGGUAGCAAACAGG